GUCGAACGGUAACAGGUCUUUCGGGAUGCUGACGAGUGGCGGACGGGUGAGGAAUACAUCGGAAUCUGCUCAGUCGUGGGGGAUAACGCAUGGAAACGUGCGCUAAUACCGCAUACGACCUUCGGGUGAAAGCAGGGGAAUCUCUCGGGAUCCUUGCGCGAUUGAAUGAGCCGAUGUCGGAUUAGCUAGUUGGUAGGGUAAAAGCCUACCAAGGCCACGAUCCGUAGCUGGUCUGAGAGGAUGAUCAGCCACACUGGGACUGAGACACGGCCCAGACUCCUG
Molecule: ribosomal RNA, 282 nt
Filed under: uncultured bacterium
Lineage: Bacteria
Description: partial 16S ribosomal RNA
Rfam family: Bacterial small subunit ribosomal RNA
Source: RNAcentral